AAACCGGUAACGCUGAAUUCUCUUCGGAGAAGCGGGGAAACCAAUUUUUGGGGUGAAUCCCGGCGCUCGAAACGUUCGGCAAGGCUGUGAGGCACACCUGCGGGCGGUGCCGCCGAAUGGGCAGCAUUAACAGAGUUGCCGGGUAGGGUUACCUUGCGACCCGAACCCGUCAGCUAACCUCGUAAGCGUAGGAAGGAAGGCCA
This 203-nucleotide small RNA is filed under the name Thermacetogenium phaeum. RNAcentral's name for it is "c-di-AMP sequence". It matches the Rfam family "c-di-AMP riboswitch aptamer (ydaO/yuaA leader)". From Rfam's summary of the family: This family represents a conserved RNA structure found upstream of the ydaO and yuaA genes in Bacillus subtilis and related genes in other bacteria. The ydaO/yuaA element is thought to act as a genetic "off" switch for the ydaO and yuaA genes in its native state. It is believed that the element may be triggered during osmotic shock leading to activation of ydaO, a predicted amino acid transporter gene, and members of the yuaA-yubG operon which code for KtrA and KtrB K+ transporters. RNAcentral also lists the same sequence under 1 other name. The record is from RNAcentral. Lineage: Bacteria; Bacillati; Bacillota; Clostridia; Thermoanaerobacterales; Thermoanaerobacteraceae.